GUAGCUGAGGUUGGCCUCAAACUCAUCCUUCCCUCAGCCUCCUUACGACUGUGAUUGCUGGUGUUGGGUGACCAUGCAGCAGUGUCUGACUUCCUCCAUGUAACAGAAUGCUCUGCUUGCCUGUCUUUUCUUUUCUUUUUAAAAACAGGUUUGACUUAAAUAUCCCUGGCUGUACUUAAUGCUUUUGUUGUGUUUUGAAGACAGGAUUUCUCUGUGUACCCUGCUGUCCUGGAACUCAUUCUGUAGACCAGGCUGGCCUGAAAUUCAGAGAUCUGCCUGCCUCUUCCUCCCAAGUGCUGAAAUUAAAGGUGUUUGCCAUUGGGCUGGAGAGAUGGCUCAGUGGUUAAGAGCACUGACUACUCUUCCAGAGCUCCUGAGUUCAAUUCCCAGCAACCACAUGGUGGCUCCCAACAUCUGUAAUGGGAUCUGAUGCCCUCUACUGGUGUGUCUGAAGACACCGACAGUGUACUCAUGUAAAUAAAGUAAAUAAAUCUUAAAA
RNAcentral lists this long non-coding RNA (499 nucleotides) under Rattus norvegicus (Norway rat). Its description in RNAcentral is "long non-coding RNA NONRATT025350". The record is from RNAcentral. Lineage: Eukaryota; Metazoa; Chordata; Mammalia; Rodentia; Muridae.